Molecule: long non-coding RNA, 2477 nt
Organism: Wyeomyia smithii (pitcher-plant mosquito)
Lineage: Eukaryota; Metazoa; Arthropoda; Insecta; Diptera; Culicidae
Exons: 3
Source: RefSeq, a predicted model, not a curated record
CAAAUUUAAGCCUCGGAACAGCGCAAGACUUGGAUUAGUUACUGUUUGCAAAUGCGAACGGAGGAGCAACAGUCAAGGUGGCUGAACUUUAAACAAACUUGCAGCCUUCGUUACACCGGCGAGUUACACCGUCAAAAUAGAACCACAGCUACUCACAUACACGCACAUGCCAACUUGUCGAACACGAUGGGUAAAACCGGUGCCAAGUUUACACCACUACAUUCCUGCUAUUUGACAUGAAGAAAUACGGUCGAGUCGAGACGAAGAAAACAUGCACCACGAAAAUGACGCCACAAAGAAGCACAAAAACAUUAAUUUAUUUAUAAAGAGACACACCGUUUUCCGAUCCGACAGAGUCGCGAAAAGCGAACCGAAAAGAGAAUCGCUACCACCAAGGAAAAAUAUUGUUUCGACCGACUUACAAACACCACAGGGGGCCACGAUGCUGAGCAUAUAGUUAAGACCUAGCUUAAUGGCGAGAUUCUGCAUUCGAGAAAUAUUUCCCCUAACGUCGUUGAUGACAAUUAGAUAACAAUCACACCGAGCUGCCGAGUUACCCCUUUCCGAGACGAUUUAUCUUUGUGUCGGACUUUCGUUUUCUCAUUUGCAUCACACACAUUCCGUAUAAUUAGUAUGUUGAACAAUCCUCCAAAAUGGAACCACUAGUAAGCACUGCACAGAACAACUAAGUUGUAACACUAACGACAAUGGCGACCUGGAAACCGGAAAAACGAACUGGAAAAAUCGAAGAUUUCCCACCUCUACUUAGUAUGCAAACGAAGCAAACGGCCACAGUCACCACAACACCCCACACGCUACGGGCACUACUAAUAUCGUCGCUUUGCUAGUAUGCUGCAUCUACCGGCUAUCCACUGAAUCGUGGUCAGCAGUAGUGAACUCGAUUUUUGUCCCGUUCUGACUGUGUAGUGGUUUGAAGUGAAUCAUCGCUAGUCAAAUAUACUAAAUGUGAGCGGUGCAGGUUCACUUUAAUAUCUAUCAGAGCUCGAAUGUACAAAGUAACGGAUCUCUAGUAAAUCGAAUUGGUGUGAAUCAUUAGGAUUAGGUCAUAUUAUUCGGAGAAACUUUCAGAAAACAGCUCCGUCUGUGGUUAGGAAGUUAGCGGAGGCUAACAUUAACAUUGCUGGUUGUGUCGAUUGAUAACACGAUUCGCCUGUCUGUAUAAGCGUGAAAGUGUAAGGUUUUCAGUACGCUUAGCAGAGUGCAAAAUACAUACGCAAACAAUGAAGCGAUAAGCUAAUCAACUUGUCGUAAGUUUGAUAGCGGAAUCAGGUGGAAAGAAACGAAACAAAAUUCAUGUUUGAAACUAAUAGAAAAACAGUAAGUCUUACCAAUCUCAUGGACUAUAGUAACUGCUUACGUAAAAUUAUUACCCGACAAAUUUUUCAAAUUGUCUUUCAAAUGCCACCAUUUGUCAUUGCACUGUGCAACAAUGCUACCGCGGUUGAAUCGGGCUAAUCAUACCCCAAACAAACAAAUAGCUACGAGGAAGUGAAUGGCGACUGACAUGCACAAUCGGUCAAAUUUUCCCACCAUUCAUCGUUUAACCGCUGCAUCAACGUUCACCACCAUCAUCAUGUUGUUGAAGCUGCUGCCACCAUGAAAUUACCUCCUGCCCAGGGAGUACAGUACAACUCCGGCAAAAGAAGUGACUUGUGGCUAAUUUACAUCGCAUAAUGUAAUGAGCUGCUGUGAAGUGCUACUUGGUGUUCCAAUCGUACACUGGGGACCGUAUUCGCAUACCAACUUUCUUCGAUUCAAUUAUGCUUGUUGAAGGGAAUAAAUUAAAAGACGGAUUUACCUUGAGCUGAAUUUCUUAUCCGGUAAGCAAUUCAUAGUGCGUGUUAAUGCUCUGAUAUUUGCAGGUAACAUCAUUUAUUUAUAAGCUCGGGCUCCAUGAAAAACAGUUUUGCUCAAAUUGAUUUAAGAAAAUAAUAACAUAAAUAGCACUACUUCGACAAAAAAAAAAGAAAAAUAAAGCAUUUGGCUCCAUUGUAAACUGAUAUAAGUAUCGGUUCCUUAAUUUCUACUGAUGUUUUGUACAUUACUGCCCAUAAUCGCAUAUCAGUCCCAGCUUCAUUUUCAUCAAGUUAACAAAACAGCGCGUUAAGGUGUUUUUCUUUCUUAAGUUAUUCCAGCUGUUGAGCGUGGUUCAUUCCCAUAUUUUCGACAUAAUAUAAUGAGAUAGACAUUUACCAUAACUUCUCUAGAAGAACGACAAAAAUGCAGGUGGGACUGGUAUGCGAUUAUGGGAAGAUUACCAAAUAGCAAAAGUAUAAUUUAAGAAAAAAACAAAUAAACAAAAAGAAUGUGAACGCGACUAUACAUAAUUAAAAAAUUUGAAAAUUGUGAAAAACUUUUUACCAGAGGCAGAAUAGGCGACAUUCAUAAAUCACCCUCCCAUAUGUAACGAAACGUAACGCCAACACCUACCCCCCAUAAAAAUUACGUAACACUAU